GUCUACGGCCACACCACCCUGAAGGCGCCCAAUCUCGUCAGCUCUCGGAAGCAAAGCAGGGUCGGGCCUGGUUAGUACUUGGAAGGGAGACCGCCUGGGAAUACCGGGUGCCGUAGGCU
Molecule: ribosomal RNA, 119 nt
Filed under: Callithrix jacchus (white-tufted-ear marmoset)
Lineage: Eukaryota; Metazoa; Chordata; Mammalia; Primates; Cebidae
Source: RNAcentral